Molecule: ribosomal RNA, 253 nt
Filed under: uncultured bacterium
Lineage: Bacteria
Description: partial 16S ribosomal RNA
Rfam family: Bacterial small subunit ribosomal RNA
Source: RNAcentral
UACGUAGGUGGCGAGCGUUGUCCGGAUUUACUGGGCGUAAAGAGCGCGCAGGCGGUCGUUCAAGUCGCGUGUGAAAGCCCCCGGCUCAACUGGGGAGGGUCACGCGAUACUGAUCGACUCGAAGGCAGGAGAGGGUAGUGGAAUUCCCGGUGUAGUGGUGAAAUGCGUAGAUAUCGGGAGGAACACCAGUGGCGAAGGCAGCUCACUGGGACGAUACUGACGCUGAGACGCGAAAGCGUGGGGAGCAAACAGG